UCCAGCUUAUCACUGGCAGUCUUACUAGAGUCCCCGGCUUCACCCGCUGGCAACUAGUAACAAGGGUUGCGCUCGUUACGGGACUUAACCCAACAUCUCACGACACGAGCUGACGACAGCCAUGCAGCACCUGUCUCUUGGUUCCUUUCGGCACACCCUAAUCUCUCAGAGCUUCCAAGCAUGUCAAGGGUAGGUAAGGUUUUUCGCGUUGCAUCGAAUUAAACCACAUGCUCCACCGCUUGUGCAGGCCCCCGUCAAUUCCUUUGAGUUUUAACCUUGCGGCCGUACUCCCCAGGCGGAGAACUUAUCGCGUUUGCUUCGACACCCAUGAGCUUCUGCUCAUAAACAUCUAGUCCUCAUCGUUUACAGCGUGGACUAC
This 379-nucleotide unclassified non-coding RNA is filed under the name uncultured Gammaproteobacteria bacterium. Its description in RNAcentral is "contains 16S-23S intergenic spacer region". Lineage: Bacteria; Pseudomonadati; Pseudomonadota; Gammaproteobacteria. The record is from RNAcentral.